AGCACUCCGCCUGGGGACUACGGUCGCAAGACUAAAACUCAAAGGAAUUGACGGGGACCCGCACAAGCGGUGGAGCAUGUGGUUUAAUUCGAUGCAACGCGAAAAACCUUACCACUCCUUGACAUGGAGAUUAGAUCCUUCUUAACGGAAGGGCGCAGUUCGGCUGGAUCUCGCACAGGUGCUGCAUGGCUGUCGUCAGCUCGUGUCGUGAGAUGUUGGGUUAAGUCCCGCAACGAGCGUAACCCUCAUCCUUAGUUGCCAGCGGGUAAUGCCGGGCACUUUAAGGAAACUGCCGGUGGUAAACUGGAGGAAGGUGGGGAUGAUGUCAAGUCAGCACGGCCCUUAUGGGGUGGGCUACACACGUGCUACAAUGGUGACUACAAUAGGUUGCAAUGUCGCAAGGCUGAGCUAAUCCGUAAAAGUCAUCUCAGUUCGGAUUGUCCUCUGCAACUCGAGGGCAUGAAGUCGGAAUCGCUAGUAAUCGUGGAUCAGCAUGCCACGGUGAAUACGUUCUCGGGUCUUGUACACACUGCCCGUCACGCCAUGGGAAUUGGCUUAACUCGAAGCUGGUGCGCUAACCGAAAGGAAACCAGCCA
Molecule: ribosomal RNA, 596 nt
Filed under: Anaplasma phagocytophilum
Lineage: Bacteria; Pseudomonadati; Pseudomonadota; Alphaproteobacteria; Rickettsiales; Anaplasmataceae
Description: bacterial SSU rRNA
Rfam family: Bacterial small subunit ribosomal RNA
Source: RNAcentral